GAUGAACGCUGACAGAAUGCUUAACACAUGCAAGUCGAUGGGGAAGUGGUGCUUGCACCUUGGCAACCAUGGCGGACGGGUGAGUAACGCGUAAGGGACUUACCUGCAGGACUGGGAUAACAGGGGGAAACUCCUGACAAGACCGGAUAAUGUCAUGGAGCUGCAUGGCUUUAUGAUGAAAGGAGACGCCUGCGGAGAGCCUUGCGUCCUAUUAGCUAGUUGGUGAGGUAAUGGCUCACCAAGGCGAAGAUAGGUAGCCGGCCUGAGAGGGUGGACGGCCACAAGGGGACUGAGAUACGGCCCUUACUCCUACGGGAGGCAGCAGUGGGGAAUAUUGGACAAUGGGGGCAACCCUGAUCCAGCAAUUCUGUGUGCACGAAGAAGGUUUUCGGAGUGUAAAGUGCUUUCAGCAGGGAAGAAGUAAGUGACGGUACCUGCAGAAGAAGCGACGGCUAAAUACGUG
This 463-nucleotide ribosomal RNA is filed under the name uncultured bacterium. RNAcentral's name for it is "partial 16S ribosomal RNA". It matches the Rfam family "Bacterial small subunit ribosomal RNA", at positions 28 to 507 of the family's 1533-position model. The record is from RNAcentral.